CCUGUCCUAAAGGCAGUGAAACUGACCUGAAGCCACUUCACGUGGGACAGUAUAUGGCUUAUAAUUCUUGCACUGGGUAAAAACCUGCAGUCUUUGGCUGCAGUUUUUGAAUUAGUUGCAGAGUUGGAAGGCAUUGUGGUCAGAUUCCUGUCUACAGGAACAGAAAUAUUUUCUAAAAACUGGCUGAUUCAUACAGUCUCUUCCAUUACAUAUCAGGAAUAUCUCAUCUGCUACAGUACAUAGGUUGACUUGAGCUGUAUUUCCCCCUUUCUGGGCUGAAUAGAGCUCUAUGAAAUGGAAAGCAAGCAGUGAAUUGCUAAACCAGACAUUAAAUCCAGUAUGUGUCCCAGACCUCAAAUCACUAGAGAAAUAAUGGAAAAUCGAGUCAGGAAAGUGAGAAAAAUGUCAGACCUGAAGGCUGAAAUGCUCAAAAAU
Long non-coding RNA from Passer domesticus (house sparrow), 435 nucleotides. RefSeq lists it as uncharacterized. The transcript is spliced from 4 exons. Lineage: Eukaryota; Metazoa; Chordata; Aves; Passeriformes; Passeridae. The record is from RefSeq and is a predicted model, not a curated record.